UACGUAGGGAGCAAGCGUUGUCCGGAAUCAUUGGGCGUAAAGCGCGCGUAGGCGGCUCGAUCAGUCUGUUGUGAAAGUCAAAGGCUCAACCUUUGAAUGCCGAUGGAUACUGUCGAGCUAGAGUCCGGAAGAGGCGGGUGGAAUUCCUGGUGUAGCGGUGGAAUGCGCAGAUAUCAGGAGGAACACCGAUGGCGAAGGCAGGUCUCUGGGCCACUACUGACGCUGAGAAGCGAAAGCAUGGGGAGCGAACAGG
This 253-nucleotide ribosomal RNA is filed under the name uncultured bacterium. Its description in RNAcentral is "partial 16S ribosomal RNA". It matches the Rfam family "Bacterial small subunit ribosomal RNA", at positions 524 to 776 of the family's 1533-position model. The record is from RNAcentral.